RNAcentral lists this long non-coding RNA (18847 nucleotides) under Lynx pardinus (Iberian lynx). Lineage: Eukaryota; Metazoa; Chordata; Mammalia; Carnivora; Felidae. The record is from RNAcentral.
UAGGGUUUAUUUUUGAGAGAGAGAGCACACACAAGUGGGGCAGGGGCAGAGAGAAGAGAACAGAGGAUCCGAAGCAGGCUCUGUGCUGACAGCAGCAAGCUGGAUGUGGUGCUUGAACUCACGAACUGAGAAAUCUGAAGUUGGACGCUCAACCAGCUAAGCCACUCAGGUGCCCCUUAUGUAACUUAUUUUCGAUUCUGUGUUGUGGAUUAUCAAAUACCAUAGUUAGCACAUGUCUUAUUAAAUCAUAUCAAAAAUACUUCUUCCAUCUGUAUAAGUUUCUGAUGUUGCGUAAAGUUACCAUGAACCACACACUUGGUAGCUCUAAACAGCAUACGUUUAUUAUUGCAGUUUCCAUGGUUACGGAGGUUUUAACUGAAUCUGCUACUCAGGGUCUCACAGUCUGCAGUCAAGGUGUACUCUGGGGGGUUGGUCUCAUCUGAGGCUUGGGGUUCUAUUUCAAGCUCACUGAUUGUUGACAGAAUUCAGUUUGGCAGUUGUAGGACUGAGGAGCCACCUUUCUUGCUGAUGACAGCUGGGAUCCACUCUGUUCCUAGAGGCCCCUGCAGUUCCUUGUCAGGUGGCCAGCUCACAAGGUGGCCAGGUUACCUCUCAGAAGCCAGCAGGAGAAUCACUCCAGUGAGCUAAAACGGGUUUAUAGAGGGGCGUCUGGGUGGCUCAGGAGGUUAAGCGGCCAAUUCUUGAUUUCUGCUCAGGUCAGGAUCUCAUGUUUUGUGAGAUCAAUCUCCCCUUCCGGCUCUGUGCUGGCAGCACAGAUACUGCUUGGGAUUCUCUCUGUCUCUGUCUCUGUCUCUCCCUCUCUCUCUCUGCCCCUCCUGCUCAUGCUCUCUCUUUUUCAAAAAUAAGUAAACUUUUAAAAAAUUUUAAAACAGGUUUAUGCAAUGUGAGUUAAUCAAAGGAGGAGCUAUCCUACGUAUUCAUAGGCCCCGCCCAUACCUGGGAGAAAGGAUGAUAGAUACAGAAGGGCAGAUAUUCUAGGGAAUAUCUUAGAAUUCUGCCCUCCCCCCCACCAUCUUCAUCUCAUUCCCAUUUUUAAAAGGUUUAGAGGUGCCUGGGUGGCUCAGUCCGUUAAGCAUCCAACUCUCAGUUUUGGCUCAGGUCAUGAAUUCAGUUUUGUGGGUUCCAACCCCACAUCAGGCUCUGCACUGACAGUGCAGAGCCUGCUUGGGACUCUCUCUCCCUGUCUCUCUGCCCCUCCUCAGCUCAUUCUGUCUCUCUCAAAAUACAUAAACUUAAAAAAAAUUUUUUUAAUGAAAUGUUUAAAAAUUUCUGCCUUCUAUUACCAAAAUACAAAAUUGUAUUUUAGUGGCUAGAGCAGCUGAUUAAUUUUUAGCAUGAUAUAACUUCUUCUUUUUGCUAUAAUACACAGGGAAAAUGUGAUGAUGGUGUCUAGAAAAAUUAGCAGAAUAAUUUAGGAUCCAUAUUUAACUAAUGGAAUUAUUUCAUAAUCCUUAUUUAACUAUUCCUUCAAAACUAUAUCAGAGACCAAUAUGCAUAUAUAAAUUUGCUUAAGAAUGCCACAUUUUUAUAAAUAAUUUUAGCUGUAUAUUAUAUUGUAUUAUUAUAAAUUAAGUAAUAAAAGCCUUAGAUAAGGAUCAUGUUGAGGCACCUGGGUGGCUCAGUUGGUUAAGCAUCUGACUUUGGCUCAUGUCAUGAUCUCAUGGUUUUUGAGUUCAAGCCCCAUAUUGGGCUCUGUGCUGACAGCUCAGAGCCUGGAGCCUGCUUCAGAUUCUGUCUCCCUCUCUCUCUGCCCAACCCCUGCUUAUAUCUGUCUGUCUGUCUCUGUCUCUCUCUCUCUCUCUCUCUCAAAAAUGAGUAAAUGUUAACAAUUUUUUUAAAAAGAUCAUGUUUUAUCAUUAUAAUAAAAAAUAAAUUAAUUUAUAUUACAUAAAAGUUGAUUUAGUCUUAUUUGGUUGCUUUUAAUAAUCUGUUUAAAUUAUACAUUCUUAGAAAAUUUUUUUCUUGAAGGGCACCUGCGUGGCUCAAUCGCUUAACCAUCGGAAUUAGGCUCAGGUCAUGAUCUUACAGUUCAUGAGUUUGAGCCCCACAUAGGGCUCUGUGCUGACAGCAUGGAGUCUGGAGCUUGUUUGGAGUUCUGUGUCUCCCUCUCUCUCUGCCCCUCCCCUGCCCCUGCUCACACUCUGUCUCUCUCAAAAAUAAAUAUUUUUAAAAAUUGCAAAAAAUUUUUUUCUUGGUUAAAUGUAUCAUUUCUGAAUCAGCACCUGACUUAAACCCACAAAGUUCAAGGGAGAAUAUCCUCUUCCAGAAAGUCAUGUGCUUCCUAGAACAGGGUUUUGGCUACUUGGAAUUUCACCAGUUACCUGCAGGUGAUAUUUAAUCUUCAUGGUGAUUUUUCUUUCAUAAGAAUAUGGUAAAUUAAUUGCAAUUUUAAUUAUCUACUUUAUUUCUUUUCUUUACUACUACCAUCAUAAAUUUAAGUGAUGUAUUAAUUUAACUAUUUAGUGGAUUUGCAGUCUAACUAAUACACACACACACACACACACACACACACACACACAUAUUUUAAAAUAAUCUCUAUUCCCAAUGCAGGGCUUGAACUGAGGACCAUGAGAUCAAGUGUCGCAUGCUGUACCGACUGAGCCAGCCAGGUACCCUUAACCAGCUUAUAUUUUAAUUAUAAUUGCAAGAGAUGCUAUAUUUCAAAAUCUCACCUACCACACAAAAAAAACAGUUUUCUCAUGUGAAUGCCUUCUGUAUGAAUGAUAAGUGAUAUAUUCCCCGAGUUCUAUGCGGUCAGGAAUUGUAUAUUUCUUCUCCAUGUUCAUACCCAUUUAUGCAUCAUUAUGUACUUGGUUGCUUUUUUUUUCUUUUCUUUUCUUUUUAAGUAAUUUCUGCAUUUGACAUGGGGCCUGAACUCCAGACCUCAAGAUCAAGAGUCACAUGCUCUACCAACUAAGACAGCCAGGCACUCUGUAUUACAUUAUGUAUAUAGUGGAUACUUUGUAGUAUCGAUGAAAUGAUCAAUUGAAGACUAAGUAAAAUAUAUUUACUUUUUAAUAUACUUUUUAAUGUACUUAAAAUAUACUUUUUAUUUUAUUUUAUAUUUUAUGAAAUAUACUUUAAUAUACUUAAAAUAUAAAAAUAUACUUUUUAAUAUACUUUAAAAGCUUAUCACCAAAUAGGUGAGAUAAUACAAAUGCACAAACAACUAUUAUGAUGCAAGAUGUGUAAAGUAAAAAAUAUCAUGUACCAGUUUCUAUAGAAACAGAGAGAAAUAUUCAAAUAUGAAAAUAAGUGAAGAUUUCAAGGUAGAAUUAAUAUUAGUGAUAAAGGAGAUUUAAAAAAUAGGUCCCAGGGUGCCUGGGUGGCUCAGUCAUUUAGGCAUCUGACUCUUGAUUUCAUCUCAGGUCCUAAUCUCACAGGUCCAUGAGUUUGAGUGCCACAUCAAGCUCCAUGAUAAAAGUGUGAAGCUUGCUUGGGAUUCUGUCUCUCUCCCUCUCUCUCUGCUCCUCCCCCAUUAAUUCUCUCUCUCUCUCUUUCUCUCUCUCUCUCUCUCACUCUCAAAAUAAAUAAAUAAACUUUAAAACUAAAAAAUAGGCCCCAAUAAAGUUUUAAAUCAAACAUAUUUGAUAUUAUUUGAACCAAUAAAAUUAGGUAGAAAUGUCUGAGGGCUCCAUAAAAGAGGUGUAAGUGGCAAAGAUGUUUCCGAGAAAACAUUAUCACCUGGAUUUCUGUCCAUUUCUUGAUUCUUCAGGGGCUGGCCUAAUAAUCACAGCAUACCUUGAUUUUGCUCAGGGGACUUCGACAUGUCUUUGAGCUGAGCCAGUGCCUCUUCAGAAACCCACAAGGUAAGCAGAAAGCAGAUCGUUCUGAUCCAUUGUCUCUCAAGUAUGGGGUAAUUAUUGUGAAUGAGUAAAUACCAUGCUUCCCAGCAUUAGGAAUUGGGAAAGAUAGAAGAGAAUAUUACUCAUCUUAGUUUUCUCCUUUGGGUUUCUGACUCUUCCUUUGAGGCACUAGUACCAAAACUUACUUGGCUAUAGGAAUGAUUAUGAACUUUAUGAUUCAUUAAAAAAAACAUUUAUUGAGCUCCAAUGUUAAUACUAGACAUUGAGUAAAAAGCUGAAGCCAAAAGUGAAAAAAAAUAGGUGGUCAUUGACCCUACAGAGUGGAAAAGAGGAGACACUCAUUUAAGUUUUGUUUUUAUUAAAAAAAUAUUUUUUAACAUUUAUUUUUGAGAGAGAGAAAAUGAGCAUGAGUGGGGGAGGGGCAGAGAGAGAGAGGGAGACAGAAUCCGAAGCAGGCUCCAGGCUCCGCGCUGUCAGCACAGAGCCUGAUGCGGGGCUCAAGCAUGUGAACCAUGAGAUCAUGACCUGAGCCAAAGUCGGACGAUUAACCGACUGAGCCACCCAGGUGCCCCCUCAUUUAAGUUCUUAUAAUAUUAUUAAAUAUCUUUGAAAGUCUUGUUAUAUUUUAAAUAAGUUAUUUAGAGAUGUAAUAGUUUGUAUUUUAGUAAUUUGUGAGUUGAUCUUAUGAAGCAUGAGUGAUCAAGUGUUUUUUUGUUUCUUCAUUUAUUCUUUCUUUUUCAUUGAGGUAUCAUUGACAUAUGAUGUUAUAUUAGUUUCAGGUAUACAACUUGAUAAUUUGAUAUAUGUAUAUAUCGGAAUAUUGUGAAAUAAUUACCAUAAUAAGUCUUGUUAACAUCUGUCACCUACACAUUGUUACAGAUAUUUUUCUUGUGAUGAGAACUUUUAAGAUCUGCUCUCUUAGCAACUUCCAAAUAUACAAUGCAGUAUUAUUAACCAUAGUCAACAUGCUGUACAAUACAUCACCCAAGACUUAUUUAUUUAUUUAUUUUUUUACUGUUUAUUUAUUUUUGAAAGAGAGAAACAGAGAGUACAAGUGGGGGAGGGGGAGAGAGCGGGAGAGAGAGAGAAUCCCAAGAAGGCCUGGCAUUGUCAGCAUGGAGCCCAACGCAGGGCUUGAUUUCACAAACCGUGAGAUCAUGAACUGAGCCGAAAUCAAGAGUCAAACACUUGACUGACUGAGCCACCUAGGCACCCCAGUAGUGUGGUUUUUAGAAUGUAGCAAAAGCUACAAUUUCCUCAGGAAAAUGAGGUUGGUUGUGAGGUUCAAACAAGAACCAUGAGAAGAGGCUUAGAAACUGUGAAAGGUACUAAUCACCAUUAGUAGUAGUAGUAGUAGACCCUGUUUUAGAGCCUCCCCUAGUGGUAAUGAGCUGGGAAGUGUUUAAUAUAUUAAAUACAACUAUAUGCUCAACCGACUGAGCCACCCAGGCGCCCAUAAAUAUAACUAUAUGCAAUAUACUUUACUCGGAAGACAAAUCAGCAUUGUCUUCAAUAGUAUCAAGAAUGGCAUCAAAUUUGGGGCACCUGGGUGGCUCAGUCGGUUAGGCAUCCGACUUCAGCUCAGGUCAUGAUCUCACAGUCUGUGAGUUCAAGCCCCAUGUGACACUCAGAGCCUGGAGCCUGCUUCCGAUUCUGUGUCUCCCUCUCUCUCUGCCCCUCCCCCGCUCAUGCUCUGUCUCUCUCUGUCUCAAAAAUAAAUAAAAACAUUAAAAAAAUUUUUAAAAAAGAAUGGCAUCAAAUUUGGGGCACCUGGGUGGCUCAGUAGGACAAGCGCCCAACUUUGGCUCAGGUCAUGAUCUCACCACUCAUGGGUUCAAGCCCCGAGUCAGGCUUUGUGCUGACAGCAAGCAGCCUUAAGCCUGCUUCAAAUUCUGUGUCUCCCUCUGUCUCUUCUCUGCCCCUCCCCCACUUGCUCUCUCUCUCUCUCUCUCUCAAAAAUAAAUAAAACAUUAAAAAUUAAUUUUUAAUUUUUUUUAGGUUUAUUUACUUUGAGAGAGACAGAGACAGUGCAAGUGGGGGAAGGGCAGAGUGAGAGAGAGAGAGAGAGAGAGAAUCCCAAGCAGGCUCCACAUCUCCAGUGCAGAGCCUGACUCGGGACUUGAACUCACUAGGCAAGAUCAUGACCUGAACCGAAACCAAGAGUUGAAUGCUUAACUGACUGAGCCACUCAGGGACCCCACAUUUAAAAUUUUUUUAAUGUUUUAUUUAUUUAUUUUGAAGGAGAGAGAGAGAGAGAGAAACAGAGAGAGCAUGCCAGCAGGGGAGGGGCAGAGAGAGAGGGAGACAGAGGAGGAUCCGAAGUAGGAUGCUUGCUGUCAGUGCAGAGCCCUAUGUGGGGCUCCAACUCAUGAGCCAUGAGAUCAUGACCUGAACCAAAAUCAAGAGUCCAAGGCUUGACUGACUGAGCCACCUAGGCACUGCUAAAUUUUUUAAUUUUUUAAAAAAUUUAAGCAUAGCUGACACACAAUGUGACACACAUUACACUAAUGCAAUUAGUUUCAGGUAUACCAGCUAGGGAUUCAACAAGUUUGUAUGUUACAUUAUCCUCACCACAAGUAUGGCUCUUAUAAAAUGUUCUUACAAUAGUUAUCACAGUGCAUAUGAACAUAACUUCUUGUUGAGAAAUGAAGACGUUUUCUGAAAGAAAGUAAAUCCAAUUUUGCUGGUUAGAUUGAUAAUGAGGACUAGCUUUGAAACUUCUUUAUGUGUUGGGAAUUUUCUAUACCUAUACUGACCAACACAGUAGGCUUUACCCAUGUGUAGCUAAGGUUAACUGUGGAAUUGAAUUUUUUUAAGUUUAUUUGUUUAUUUUGAGAGAGAGAGAGCGUGCACACACACAUGCAAGCAGGAGAGAGAGAGAAUCCUAUGCAGGCUCUGUGCUGUCAGCGCAGGGCCUGAUGCAGGGCUCAGACUCAUGAACAAUGAGAUCAUGACCUGAGACAAAAUCAAGAGUUGGAUGCUCAACCAACUGAGCCAAUCAGGUGCCCCUGGAAUUGAAUGUUUAAUUUAAUUUAAUUUUUUUGAGGGAGAGAGUGCACAGGGGGUAGGGGGAGGGAGACAGGAAGAGAGAGAAACCCAAGCAGGCUCCCUGCAGUCAGUGUGGGAGCCUGAUUCCACAAACAGUGAGAUCAUGACCUGAGCCAAAAUCAAGGGUCAGACAUUUAACCGACUAAGCCACCCAGGUGCCUCACAGGAGAGAGAGAAUUCCAAGCAGGCUCCAUGCUCAUUGUGGAGCCCAACACAGGGCUCCAUCUCACCACAGUGAGAUCGUGACUUAACCUGAAAUUAAGAGUCAGACAUUUAACUGACUGAGCUACUCAGGUGGCCUGAUUUUUCAAUUUUAAAGUUAAAAACCAAAACAGUGUAAAUUUUAUUAUAUUUUUGAAAUGAUGAUAUUUCUAUAUAUUGAUCUCAAUGAAAUACAUUUUUAAAUUCAUUUUACCAGUCUCCUUUAACUUUUUUUAGUGUGGCUACUGGAAAAAUUAGAAUUAUGUAUGUGACUCACAUUCUGUUUCUGCUGGACAUCACUGUUCUGUACGUUGUCUGAACUAAAUCUGGAACUUCAAUGUUUCAACAAAAAUAUAUUCAAGCUAUUUGAUAAGAUAAAAGAAUGUUACCAAAAAUUUUGUAUAGAAUUUAACAAUAUUUAAUAUUCUAACCUUUCCUUAUUAAACAAGGUACCUCUAAUAGAAGAAUAUUGGAUACAAUUUGCUAAACUUUCUCACAAAAUGAGAAAGUGAAUGACUCUAAUAACUGAGUAACAAUUUUUUUGGGGGAGUCAGGUAUUUUCUAAUUCUUUCCUACCAAAAUCCAAAGGAAGAACUAAUACAAUUGGUAGCUAUUUGAUCAUUAAGAAUAAUUUUUGAAAAUAGAAAAUUAUGUGAUUUUUGGUAUAUAACUAGGAAGAAGUUCAAAGAAUUGGAUGACGGCAAUAACAAAAUUCCUUCCAUUUAUGUCUACUCAUAUAUGUGGACAAGGUUUCUCAGAGCUGAUUGAUGUUGAAUCUGUCUCAUUCUAGUAAUAACUAAUAUUCAUUCACAGAUACUUAAGCUAAUUGAAAAAAAUUUUAAGUCCCAUUCGUGUCAAUAAGAUAUGCAAUUCUGGGCUGCCUGGGUGGCUCAGUUGGUUGGGCAUCUGAUUUCGGCUCAGGUCAUGAUCUCACACUCCAUGAGUUCAAGCCCUGCAUCAGGCCCUGUGCUGACAGCUCAGAGCCCCUCCCCUCCUCAUGUUCUGUCUCUCUCUCUCUCUCCUUUAAAAGUAAAUAAACAUUAACAAAAAAUUUUUUAAAAAGAUAUGCAAUUCCAAUAAAAUUUUUUUCUUUCUUUUUUUUUUUAAGUUUAUUUAUUUUGAGAGAGAGAAUCACAGGCAGGCUCUACAUUGUCAGCACAGCGCCCCACACGAGACUUGAACUCACGAACCAUGAGAUCAUGACCUGAGCCAAUAUCAAGAGUUGGUCCCUCAACUGACUGAGCUACCCAGGCACCCUAAAUUUUAUUUUUUCUUAAUAAUUAUUUAUCAUAAUUAUAUUAAUGUUAUUUUAAUCAAUUGUAUAAUAGUAAUAAUGGUAACAAUAUCUCAAUCCAGAAGAAAUGUUUUUAACACUCAGGUGGUUUUUUAAAUGAAAUUAUAUGUAUCAGUAUAUAUAGUACAAAAGUAUGAUAUGUGAUCAAUAAAAGACUUCAAGAGGGGUGCCUGGGUGGCUCCGUUGGUUAAGCAUCUGACUUCAGCUCAGGUCAUGAUCUCACAGUUCAUGAGUUUGAGCCCCGCAUCGGGCUCUAUGCUGACAGCUCAGAGCCUGGAGCCUGCUUUGGAUUCUGUGUCUCCCUCCCUCUCUCUCUGCCCCUUCUUCCCUCUCUCUCUCUCUCAAAAAUAAACAAACAUUAAAAACAUUUUUUAAAUAAAUAAAACACUUCAGGAGUUCUGGUACUGGGCCAAGAUAGAGUAAUCCCACUACAGCCUAUCUUUCUCAAUGAUUACAACUAAAAACUCUGGACAAAAUACAUAAAGCAACAUAUCUGCUACUUAAAACAUAGUAGCAGAUAGAUUGAGGAGGGGAACCAAAGCUGAAGAAAAACACAUACAGUUUCCCACAUUUUCCUCUUUUUUCUCUUUGUUUUGACUCAAAGACAGCCACAUAACUAUACAUAACUGUACAGUUGAUACAGGUAUCAAAAACCCCUAGAGAAAUCCUACAUUUCUGGUCAGAAGAGCAGGAAAGGGGUUCCUAUAAGCAAGAGAGUAUGGAGCAAUCCUCCUUGUUGUUGUUUUUUUCUUUUGCCUUACCCCAAGGACAACCCCAGUCACAGAGCUGUAUUGUGGUGGCAGUGGCACAGGCAUUUAAAAUCCCAGUGAGAAAUCUUUCAGUCCAGAGGAACUAAGAUAAAGUGAACCUGUGAUCUGAAAGUGUGUGUGUGUGUGUGUGUGUGUGUGUGUGUGUAGGGAAUCCCCCUUAUGUUUUUCUUUCUUUUCUCUAAUUGCUUUGCCCCAAUGUUGGUCCCAAUCAUGCAGAAUUGUGUGACAGCUAAACCUCCAAGACAAAGCUCAUUUUUCUAGUCAGAGAACUAAAGAAGGGGACUGUGAUAGCUGGAGAGUGUGGGGAAAAUCUGAAUAUGGGAGAGGUGGAGAAGAGACUCCCUUAUUUCUGAUUAAUAAAAGUGAUAAACCUCUGGCAAUACUGACAAGAAAAAUGAGAGAAGACACAAAUUAUCAUUAACAGGAAUGAAAGAGGGGAAACAUUACUACAGACUCUACAGACAUCCAAAAGAUAAUGACAAUACUGCAAGCAAGUCCCAUAAAUCAAAUUACCAAGAGAAAUAGACCAAUUCUUUGAAGGACACAAAGAACCAAAACUCACAUAAGAAGAAAUAGAUAACCUGCAUAAUUCUAUAUUUAUUAAAGACAUUGAAUUUGUAAAAAUCCUCCAACAAGGAAAAUUUCAGUCUAACAAACAUUUAAGGAAGAAGUAAUACCAGUAAAUAGAAGGGAAUACUUUCCAACUUAUAUUAGGAAUCCUGUAUUACUCUGAUUUCCCAAACCAGAGAAAGAGUACAAGAAAUUAAAGCAACAGAUCAGUAUCAUUAAUGAACAUAGAUGAAACAAUCUUCCACAAAACAUUAGCAAAUGGAAUCUAGUAGGAGUUAUCCUGGGAAUGCAAGGCUGGCUCAACACUCAAAAAUCAACCAAUGUAACUCAUCAUUUCAACAGACUAAGGAAGAAAAGGUAUAUGAUCAUCUCAAUAGGUGCAGAAAAAUCAUUUAACAAUUCAACAUUUAUUUAUGAUUUUAAAAAAACUCUCAGCAAACUAUGGAUAAAAGGAACUUUCUCCUGAAAGAGAAUGUCUACAAAACAUUGCAGCUAAUAUACAUAAUAGGAAAGACUGAAUGCUUCUUCCUUAUAUCUGAAGAAGGCAAGGAUGUCUGCUCUUAUUCACAUUAAACAUUUUAUUGGAAAUUAUAACCAGUGCAAUAAAGCAAGAAUAAGAAAAGACAUAUAGAUUUGAAAAGAAAGAAUAAAACUAUCUCUAUUCUCAGACAAUAUGAUUGUCUAUGUAGACAUCAAGGAAUCUACAAAAAAGCUCCUAGAACUAAUAAGUAAGUUUAGUAAAGUCACAGAUUAUUAGGUUAAUAUUAAAAAUCAAGUGUAUUUUUAUAUUCUAGGAAUGAACAAUUAGAAUUUAAAAUUUUUAAAACUACUGGAGCACCUGGGUGGCUCAAUUGGUUAAGCGUCCAACUUUGGCUCAGGUCAUGAUCUCAUGAGUUUGAGCCCCGCAUCGGGCUCUGUGCUAACAGCUCAGAGCCCAGAGCCUGCUUCAGAUUCUGUGUCUCCCUCUUUCUCUCUCUCUCUACCCCUCCUCCACUCCAGCUGUCUCUCUCUGUCUCAAAAAAUAAACAUUAAAAAAAAUAAAAAAAUUUAAAGUACGAUUCAAAACAAUAAAUAAAAAUUAAAAAAUAAAAAAGUAACCACUUAUAAUAGUACCCCAAAAAUAUAAUCUCUAGGUAUAAGUCUAACAAAAUAUGUGCAGGAUCUAUAUACUGAAAGCUACAAAACACUGAUGGAAGAAAUUAAAGUCUAAAUAAGUAGGGAGAUAUGCUAUGUGAGAAUAUUAGAACAUUUAGUAUUGUUAUGAUAUUGAUUCUCUCCAAAUUGAACUAUGGAUUCAAUGUGAUCACAGUCAAAAUUUCAGCCUGGUUUUUUAGAUAUAUAUGGGCAAGCUUAAUAUAAAAUUUUAUAUGAACAGGCAAAGGAAUUAGAAUAACCCAAGCAAUUUUGUAGAAGAGCAAAGUUGGAGGGCUGCUACUACCAGAUUUUUUAUAAAAUGUUUAUUUUGAGAAAGAGAGUGCCUGCUCAUGUGUGAGGGGUGGAGGGGCAGAGGGUGAGGGAGAUAGAGAAUUCCAAGCAGGCUCCAUGCUCAGCACAAAGCCUGAUGCAGAGCUGGAUCUCACAACUGUGAGAUCAUGACUGUGAGAUCAUGACCUGAGCCAAUAUCAGGAGUCAGACACUUAACCAACUAAGCCACCCAAGCACCCCUGCUACUAUCAGAUUUUAAGAUUUAGUAUAAAGUUAUACAAUCAAGAUAGCAUACUAUUAGUGAAAGACAUAUGCAUCCAUGGAACGGGAUCGAGAUCUGAAAGAGACCCACACAAAACCCACAACUGAUUUUUGACAAAUGUGCAGAGUCAACUCAACAGAGAAAGACAGUAUUUUCUAGCAGUAGUGAUGGAACAACUAGAUAUCCAUAGGCAAACAAUAAGAAAACAAAAACAAAAGGCACUUUGACCGAUACUUCACAUACUUUAUACAAAAACUAGCCCAAAAGAAGUGGACAGAAAUGUAAAGUUACAACCAAAAAACUUAUGGAAGAAAAAUAUAAGAAAAUAUUUGUGGCCUUGGGUUAAGCAAAGGGUAGUUAGAUAUAAUACCAACAGCAAAAUUCACAAAAGAAAAAAAUGAUAAAUUGAUCUUCGUUAAUAUUAACCUCUGCUCUGUAAAGAAAGGGAUCUGGUUAAGAGAAUGAAUGACAGGCUGCAGACUGGGAGAAAUAUUUGCAAAUCACAUAUCCAACAAAGGACUUUAAUCCAAAAUAUGUAGGGAAUUUACAAGACACAACAAAACCUUAUGACAAAAGAGCCAAGAAUAUGCAGUAGGUAAAGGAUAGUCUCUUCAGUAAAUGGUGUUGGGCAGGGCACCUGGAUGGCUCAGUCGGUUAAGUGUCUGACUUCAGCUGAGGUCAUGGUCUCAUGGUUCAUGUGUUCGAGCCGAGUUGGGGUCUAUGCUGACAGCUCAGAGCCUGGAGCCUGCUUCAGGUUCUGUGUCUCCCUCUCUCUGCACCUCCCCCGCCUGUGCUCUGUCUCUCUCUCUCUCUCUCUCAAAAAUAAAUACACCUUAAAAAUAAGAAAAUGGUAUUGGAAAACUGGACAUUCACAUUCAAAAGAGUAAAGCUGGACCACUAUCUUUUACCAUAUACAAUUAUCAACUCAAAAUGGAUUAAAGACUUGAACAUAGGGGCGCCUGGGUGGCGCAGUCAGUUAAGCGUCCGACUUCGGCCAGGUCACGAUCUCGCGGUCCGUGAGUUCGAGCCCCGCAUCGGGCUCUGGGCUGAUGGCUCGGAGCCUGGAGCCUGUUUCCGAUUCUGUGUCUCCCUCUCUCUCUGCCCCUCCCCCGUUCAUGCUCUGUCUCUCUCUGUCCCAAAAAUAAAUAAACGUUGAAAAAUUAAAAAAAAAAAAAAAGACUUGAACAUAAAACCUAAAAUCAUAAACUUCCUAGAAGAAAACGUAGGGAGUAAACUCCUAGACAUCAGUCUUAGAGAUGAUUUUUUUGAAUUUGACACCAAAGCAAAAGCAACAGAAGCAAAAAUAAACAAGUGGCACUACAUCAAACUAAAAACUUUCUGAAUAGCAAAGGAAAGCAUCAAUGAGAUGAAAAGGUAACCUACAGAAUAUGAAACACUAUUUGUAAAUCACAUAUUUGAUAAAAGGUUAAUACCCAAAAUAUAUAUUAAAAAAAAACUCAGACAACUCAAAAGAAAACAAACAAUCCAAUUAAAAACUCAGCAGAGGAUCUGAAUAGACAUUUUUCCAAAAAGGACAUACAGAUGGCUAACAGAAAUAUGAAAAGGUGCUCAGCAUCACUAAUCAACAAGGAAAUGCAAAUUAAAACCACAAUGAGAUAUCACCUCACACCUGUUAGAAUGACUGUCCUCGAAAAGAUAAGAGGUGCACCUGAGGGGCUCGGUUGGAUGAGCAUCUGACUCUUGAUUUUGACUCAGAUCAUGAUCUCACGGUUUGUGAAAUCGAGCCUCCCUUUUUGGGCUCCAUGUUGACAGCUCAGAGCCUGCUUGAGAUUCUCUCUGUUCCUCUCUCUUCUCCUCCCCACUCAUGCUCUCUCUCUUUCUGAAAAAAAGCAAGUAAACGCUUAAAAAUUAAAUAAAUAAAUAAAUAAAUAAAUAAAUAAAAAUAAAGAUAAGAGAUAUUAAGUGCUAGGAAGGAUGUGGAGAAAGGGAACCCUUGUGUACAUUGUGGGAAUGCAGCUACAAUGGAAAACAGUAUGGAGGCUCCUCAAGAAAAUAAAAAUAGAAUAACCAAAUAAUCCAGUAAUUUCACUCUGGGAAUUUAUGCAAAGAAAAUGAAAUCACUAUCUUGAAAGAUAUCUGCACCCGCCAUAUUCACUGCAGCAUUAUUUAUAGUAGCCAAAACAUGGAAACAACCUAAGUGUCCAUCGAUGGAUGAAUGGAUAAAGAAAAUGUGAAAUAUGACAUAUGUGAAAUAUUGUUCAGCCAUAAAAAAGAGGGAAAUCCUGCCACUUGCAACAACAUGGAUGAACCUUGCGGGCAUUAUACUAGGUGAAAUAAGUCAGACAGAAAAAAGAUUAAUAUUGUAUGAUUUCAGAGGCACCUGGGUGGCUCAGUUGUUAAGCAUCUGACUUCGGCUCAGGUCAUGAUCUCAUGGUUCAUGGGUUCGAGCCCCUCAUUGGGCUCUGUGCUGACAGGUCAGAGCCUGGACUAUGCUUUGAAUUCUGUGUAUCUCUCUCUCUCUCUCUCUCUGCCCCUCCCCCACUCAUGUGGGCCCACCUGCGCACAUGCGUGCACUCUCUCUCAAAAAUAAAUAUUUUUAAAAAUAUUGUAUGGUUUCAUUUACAUGUGGAAUCUAAAAACAAAAAAAACCCAAAUGCAUAAAAACAUUUUGAUGGUUGCCACAGGCAGGGGGUGGGUGAAAUGGAUGAAGAUGAUCAAAAGACACAAACUUCCAGUAUGAAUCCUAGGGAUGUAAUGUACAGUAUGGUGACUUUAGUUAAUGUAACUGUAUUAUAUAUUAAAAAAUUGCUAAGAAAGUAAGGCUAAAUACAUAUGUGCAAAAUUUUGUAGCUAUGUGUGGUGGUGAAUUAACUAAAUUCUGGUAAUCAUUUUGCAAUAUAUUUAUCUAUCAAAUCAUUAUGUUGUACAACUAAAACUAAUACAAUGUUAUAUGUAAAUUAUAGUUCAGUAGAAAAAAAAGAGGAAAAAAAGAAAACAAACAAUGCAAUACAAAGUACAAGAUUGUGGGGUGCCUGGGUGGCUCAGUUGGUUAGGCGUCCGACUUCGGCUCAGGUCAUGAUCUCAUGGUUUGUGGGUUCGAGCCCCGCAUCUCGCUCUGUGCUGACAGCUCAGAGCCCAGAGCCUGUUUCAGAUUCUGUGUCUGCCUCUCUCUUUGCCCCUCCCCCACUCAUGCUCUGGCUCCCUCUGUCUCAAAAAUAAAUCGACAUUAAAAAAUUAAAAAAAAACCAAAGUACAAGAUUGAUAAAUUAGUCUGCAUUAAAACUAAUGCUUCUGUUCAUCAAAAGACACCAUUAAAGAGGUGGAUGCAUUUGGUGAAAAGCUAAUAGGAAACUUUAUAAAGUUAUAAUGAAUGGAUCCAGCUGACGAACUGGCCAUGUAGCUAGAUUUCAUUAAAUGCUUGUCAUGGUCUUCUGUUUGCCCUCAACUCCAUUCUGUCACCUUGAAUGAUAAAAUUUCCCAGGAUUCCUUGUGUGUAGCCACUUGACUGUUUCCAGACAGUUGAAUGGGAGAAGUAGUAGCAUCAUUUCCAGGACUGGCCCAUAAAACCUUUCAACAGAUGUUACUUAAUUUCCUUUGCCUGUCCAAUGGCAAAGCUACAAGAUAAAAGGGACAAGGGUCUCUUGGUCACUUUUUAAUGGAAAGCUGACCCCAGAAGCCAUCAGAUGAAAAACACCCAUGUAGGAUUGUUGUGUGAAUGAGAAGUAAACUUUUGCUGUAUUUAGCCAUUGAAAUCUCUGGAUGAUUAUUACAGCAGCUAGUCUACCCUACCACAACUCUGACAGUGGCUUUUUUACUGUGUUCUUUGGGGACCCUAAAUCUUCUUAAUGAUGCCUUGAGGGAUGUGGUAGAAACUUAGGGAGCCUACUUCAAUCAGAACAGCCCUCCUUUUAUAUAUUUAAGACAUAAUGUAUGACAUAUGAACACACACAUAUGAUACAUAAUGAUGCACAUGGUGAAGACUUCAAAAGGCACAAAGGGUUCUACAGUAAAAAAAAAAGUCUUUAUUUUUGAGGGAGAGAAAAAGAGAGAGAAAGAGAGAGAAGCAGGGGAGAGGAGCAGAGGGAGAGGGAGCGAAUCUCAAGCAGGCUCCACACUCAGUGCAGAGCUGGACAUGGGGCUCAAUCCCAUGACCGUGAGGUCAUGACCUGAGCCAAAAUCAAGAGUUGGGCACUUAACUGACUGAACCACCCAGGCACAUGCCCCACUACGCCCCCCACCUUGCCCGCCCCUGCCUCACCUGCAAAAUCUUUCACCUUUGUCUUCCAGUCUCCCAUUUGCAUGCCCUAGGAACAAGUUCUGUUACCCAUUUCCUGAGUUUAAGUGACGAUUCAUAUACAUAUAAACAAUAUGUACUGGUUGUAUGUUUAACCAAUUCCUUCUUUAAAUUUUUUUUUUUUCAAUGUUUUUAUUUAUUUUUGGGACAGAGAGAGACAGAGCAUGAACGGGGGAGGGGCAGAGAGAGAGGGAGACACAGAAUCGGAAGCAGGCUCCAGGCUCCGAGCCAUCAGCCCAGAGCCCGACGCGGGGCUCGAACUCACGGACCGCGAGAUCGUGACCUGGCUGAAGUCGGUCGCUUAACCGACUGCGCCACCCAGGCGCCCCAAACCAAUUCCUUCUUAAUGGCAAAUUAGUGUAUUUCCAAUCUUUUGCUAAUAUAAACCAUGGCACAAUAAAUACUCUUGAAUAAAAGUCAUUUUACACAUAUGCAAGUAUGUGGAUCUAUAAAAAUGGAUUUCUAGUAUUAGAAUUGCCAGAUUAAGAGGUAUAUGCAUUUUACAUUUUGAUUAACAGUGCCAAGUUGCUUUCCGUAGGGUUGUACUAAUUUCCAUUUUUACUAUUACUGUACAACUGGGUCUGGCUCUGCACAUUCUUUUCAAUGCAGCAUAUGAUCAAAUUUUGGUUCCUUACUACCUUGAUAAUGUGAAAAACGGCAUUUCAUUGUAAAUUAGUGAGUGUUUCUCUUUUCAUGAGUGAGGUUUUAUAUCUUUCACAUGUUUAAAAGCCACGUGCGGGGCGCCUGGGUGGCUUAGUCUGUUGAGCUUCCGACUUCGGCUCAGGUCAUGAUCUCACGGUCUGUGACUUCGAGCCCCGCGUCGGGCUCUGUGCUGACAGCUCAGAGCCUGGAGCCUGCUUCAGAUUCUGUGUCCCCUCUCUCUCUGACCCUCCCCCGUUCAUGCUCUGUCUCUCUCUGUCUCAAAAAUAAAUAAAACAUUUAAAAAAAAAUAAUACAUAAAUAAAAGCCACGUGCAUUCCCUUUUCUGUGAACCGAACUCUUCAUUUUCCUUAUUGAUUGGUGUGAGUCCUUUAAAUAUUAAAGGAAAUGGAUCUACAUUAUAUAAUAGGGUUAAGAUCUUUCAAUAGAUAAAUUCAGCUGCUAAAACCAAAGUUUGAAAAUCACCGCCUAUGCUGCUUUUUAACAUAGCCUUGCUAAUAAAAACCUUCCCCUCAUUCCCUUGGGAAUCUUUGUCAGUUGGAGUCCCAUCCAGUAUCACUUGCCCUGUGGUUGAAACUCUAGGACAGACUUUCUCAACUGUGGCACUGCUGAUGUUUUGGCUGGAAAAUUCUUUGUUAGGGGCUGCCCUCUGCAUCGCAGAAUGUUGAGAAGUAUGACUGGCCUCUAUCUGCUGAAUGUCAGUUGUACCUUCCCUACGUCCCCCACUAAAAAAUGUCUUCAGGGGCGCCUGGGUGGCUCAAUUGGUUAGGCGUCUGACUCUUGAUUUCUGCUCAGGUCAUAAUCUCACGGUUCAUGCAUCUGGCUGCAUCUGGCUCUGCACUGGCAGUGAGAAGCCUGCUUGGGUUUCUCUCUCUCCAUUUCUCUCUGCUCCUUCCCAGCUCGUGCACACGUACUCUCUCGCUCUCUCUUUUUCAAAUAAAUAAACAAGAAAAAAAUGUUAAAAAUCCUCUGGAGGGUAGGGGAGCAAAAUUGCCCCAGUUGAGAACCACUGGUCUAGGACUUUAUAUAGCUGGUGGAAGGCAGGCCACAUUAUCAGCCUAUCUAUUUGCUUUAGUUUGGACAUCCCACACAUCUCCCCAAAUGGUGUUUGAUAAUAUAUAGAAUACUAAGUUCUGUAUGGAAGUACAAUACUUGUAUUAUAAACUGAUCAAAAAGACUAAAUAAUAUACAUGAAACCAUAAAAGAAUAGCAUCUGCUAAACUUGUGGUUAUACCUUGGAAAUUUAAAAAGAAGUAGUUUAAGACAGGCAAGUCAGCUACCACUUAAGCCUCACAGGGUUGGAGGGGCUUGAGGAGACCCCCAGAAUCCAGAUUCUAGCCCUCAGACUGUAGUUUCAAAAAAUGGACCCUUUUUUCCUUUAUGUAUACAUAUGUGUAUAUAUGUAUAUGUAUGUAUAUAUGUAUAUAUAUAUAUAUAUAUAUAUAUAUAUACACAUAUAUAUAUUCUCAUUUUAAUAUAUGAAAUUUUAGCAAGAAACAUUUAUUGAUGUGUCCCUAACCCUCGUAUCUAUGCCUACCUCCUCUAUCAGGGAUGUUAAAAUGUUAACAUUUUGACAUUAACUUUCCAUACUUUUCCCAAGUCUGUACAGCCAUAUCUGUAUAGAGGUUUGUAUAUACGUAUUUAGGGGUCUUAUUUUUUAUUUAUUUAUUUUUUUAAGUAGCCUCCAUGCCCAGCACAGAGCCCAAAAUGGAGCUUGAACUCAUGACCCUAAGAUCAAGACUUGAGCUGAGAUCAAGAGUCAGAUGCUUUACUGACUGAGCUACCCUGGCACCCCCUAUAGGGAUUUUAAAAAUAAUAAAAAAGUGGGUAUUUGUUAAAUAAUAGAAAAGGUCAUAGUAUACACAUUUUUGUGCAACUUGCUUUGUCACAGUGCAUCAUGAACAUUUUUUGAGAUCAGUUAUAGAUCAUUUUAAUGGUUGAAUAAUAUGCCAUAGUAAGUGUAUACCAUAAUUUGAUCAACAGGUUUCCUACUGAAGACAUCUGGAUUGUUUCUUUUUUUUUCUUUUCCUGCAACAUCAAUACCAUAAUAAACAUUCUUGCAUUCAUGGCCUUACAUAUUCAUACUUUUAUUUUGUUAAGAUAAAUGGAAUUUUGGAUUGAAAGGUAUGUAUAUAUUUAUAGUUUUAAUAAAUACUCCAGAUUACUUUCCAAGACUAUAAUAGCAAUGUAUGAGAGUAUUAGUUCCCCCAUAUCCUGGUAAGCAAUAGAUGGCAAUAAUAAAAUUUGCUUUGUGUUUGCCUAUGUAAGAAAUGAAAAAUGGGUACCUCAUUGUUUUACUUGCAUAUCUGUGACUACUAAUAAAUUUGAGCAUAUUUUAAAUUUUUAUGUAGUCAAAUAUGCAUUUCAUUUUUUAAUUUAAUUUUUUUAUUUAAUUUAAUUUUUUUGGUGGAGCAUAUGGGGAAAUACAGAUUUUAUAUGGCUCCUGUCCUGGGGUGCCUGGGUGGCUCAGUUGGUGAAGCAUCUGACUUUUGAUUUUGGCUCAGGUCAUGAUCUCACAGUUUGUGAGUUCAAGCC